This 166-nucleotide ribosomal RNA is filed under the name Xenopolyscytalum sp. RNAcentral's name for it is "partial large subunit ribosomal RNA". It matches the Rfam family "Eukaryotic large subunit ribosomal RNA", at positions 99 to 261 of the family's 3401-position model. The record is from RNAcentral. Lineage: Eukaryota; Fungi; Ascomycota; Leotiomycetes; Helotiales; Hamatocanthoscyphaceae.
CGGCAACAGCUCAAACUUGAAAUCUGGCUCUUUCAGAGUCCGAGUUGUAAUUUGUAGAAGAUGCUUCGGGGGUGGUGCCGGUCUAAGUUCCUUGGAACAGGACGUCAUAGAGGGUGAGAAUCCCGUAUGUGACUGGUUGCCUUCGCUCAUGUGAAGCUCUUUCGAC